RNAcentral lists this ribosomal RNA (253 nucleotides) under uncultured bacterium. RNAcentral's name for it is "partial 16S ribosomal RNA". It matches the Rfam family "Bacterial small subunit ribosomal RNA", at positions 524 to 776 of the family's 1533-position model. The record is from RNAcentral.
UACGUAGGGUGCAAGCGUUGUCCGGAAUUAUUGGGCGUAAAGAGCUCGUAGGCGGUCUGUCGCGUCGGAUGUGAAAUCCCAGGGCUCAACCCUGGGCCUGCAUUCGAUACGGGCAGACUAGAGUUCGGUAGGGGAGACUGGAAUUCCUGGUGUAGCGGUGAAAUGCGCAGAUAUCAGGAGGAACACCGGUGGCGAAGGCGGGUCUCUGGGCCGAUACUGACGCUGAGGAGCGAAAGCGUGGGGAGCGAACAGG